GUAGUCAUAUGCUUGUCUCAAAGAUUAAGCCAUGCAUGUCUAAGUAUAAGCAACUUUGUACUGUGAAACUGCGAAUGGCUCAUUAAAUCAGUUAUAGUUUAUUUGAUGGUCCUUACUACAUGGAUAACUGUGGUAAUUCUAGAGCUAAUACAUGCUUAAAAGCCCCGACUUCUGGAAGGGGUGUAUUUAUUAGAUAAAAACCAACCCUUCGGGUCCCUUGGUGAAUCAUAAUAACUUCUCGAAUCGCAUGGCCUUGUGCCGGUGAUGCUUCAUUCAAAUAUCUGCCCUAUCAACUGUCGAUGGUAGGAUAGAGGCCUACCAUGGUUGCAACGGGUAACGGGGAAU
Molecule: ribosomal RNA, 345 nt
Filed under: uncultured fungus
Lineage: Eukaryota; Fungi
Description: SSU rRNA
Rfam family: Eukaryotic small subunit ribosomal RNA
Source: RNAcentral